RNAcentral lists this unclassified non-coding RNA (282 nucleotides) under uncultured fungus. Its description in RNAcentral is "sequence contains 5.8S rRNA gene". The stretch from base 1 to 53 matches the Rfam family "5.8S ribosomal RNA", at positions 102 to 154 of the family's 154-position model. Lineage: Eukaryota; Fungi. The record is from RNAcentral.
GAACGCACAUUGCACCCGGUGGUAUUCCGCCGGGUAUGCCUGUUCGAGCGUCAUUUCCACCCUCAGGCCCCCCUCCUCACGGGGGAAGGGCCUGGUGUUGGGGAUCUACGGGCCCUUCUGGCGCCCGUAGUCCCCUAAAUCAAUCGGCGUGCGCGCUGUACGUUGCCCCCUGCGUAGUAGUGAUUUCUCGCAUCGGGCCGUAGCGCUGUCCAGCCGCUAAACUGCAACUACGCAUUUAGCUAGGUUUGACCUCGAAUCAGGUAGGGUUACCCGCUGAACUUA